Molecule: non-coding RNA, 704 nt
Organism: Peromyscus maniculatus bairdii (prairie deer mouse)
Lineage: Eukaryota; Metazoa; Chordata; Mammalia; Rodentia; Cricetidae
Source: the annotation of a RefSeq genome assembly
GUUACACUGGGGAAAUCGUGAUGACUCAGUCUCCAGCUUCUUUGGCUGUAUCUCCAGGGCAAAUUGCCACUAUCUCCUGUAGGUCCAGCCAGGGUGUCAUUACAGCUGGUAUUCAUCUUAUGAAUUGGUAUCAACAGAAACCAGGACAGUCCCCCAAACUCUUUAUCUAUGAUGCAUCUAAAGUAGCAUCUGGAGUCCCUGCCAGGUUCAGCGGCAGUGGGUCUGGAACAGACUUCACCUUCACCAUCCAUCUUGUGGAGGCAGAUGAUGUUGCAACCUAUUAUUGUCAGCAAGGUCUAGAGCUUCCUCCAUCAUUCAGCAGGGGGAGCAAGAUGGAGUUACAGACCCAGUUCCUCAUGUCCUUGCUGCUCUGGGUGUCUGGUGCCUGUGCAGAUAUAGUGAUGACCCAGUCUCCAUCCUCCCUGGCUGUGUCUGCAGGAGAGAAGGUCACCAUCAGCUGCAAGUCCAGUCAGAGUCUUUUAAACAAUAACAAGAACGGUUUAGCCUGGUACCAGCAAAAAUCAGGGCAGGCUCCUAAACUGCUGAUUUACUUAGCAUCCACUCGAGGUACUGGGGUCCCUGAUCGCUUCACAGGCAGUGGGUCUGGAACAGAUUUCACUCUCACCAUCAGCAGUGUCCAGGCUGAAGACCUGGCUGAUUACUACUGUCAGCAGCAUUAUAGUAUCCCUCUCACAGUGUUUUAG